GAUGAACGCUGGCGGCGUGCCUAAUACAUGCAAGUCGAGCGAACAGACGAGGAGCUUGCUCCUCUGACGUUAGCGGCGGACGGGUGAGUAACACGUGGAUAACCUACCUAUAAGACUGGGAUAACUUCGUGAAACCGGAGCUAAUACCGGAUAAUAUAUUGAACCGCAUGGUUCAAUAGUGAAAGACGGUUUUGCUGUCACUUAUAGAUGGAUCCGCGCCGCAUUAGCUAGUUGGUAAGGUAACGGCUUACCAAGGCAACGAUGCGUAGCCGACCUGAGAGGGUGAUCGGCCACACUGGAACUGAGACACGGUCCAGACUCCUACGGGAGGCAGCAGUAGGGAAUCUUCCGCAAUGGGCGAAAGCCUGACGGAGCAACGCCGCGUGAGUGAUGAAGGUCUUCGGAUCGUAAAACUCUGUUAUUAGGGAAGAACAAAUGUGGAAGUAACUAUGCACGUCUUGACGGUACCUAAUCAGAAAGCCACGGCUAACUACGUG
RNAcentral lists this ribosomal RNA (497 nucleotides) under uncultured bacterium. RNAcentral describes it as "partial 16S ribosomal RNA". It matches the Rfam family "Bacterial small subunit ribosomal RNA", at positions 28 to 507 of the family's 1533-position model. The record is from RNAcentral.